UUUCCAAAUGGAGUGAGAGAACAAGAAAGCCUCUAGAAGCCCUCUAUGGGUAUGACUACUUUGCCAGAACCUGUGAAAAGUGGGUGGAUGGCAUAAGACAGUUUAAACAUCUCCCAGAUGUAACAUCUGCCGGCACCUGCUGCCCCGGGUCCAGUGCCCCGCCUUGAUUGUGCACGGUGAGAAGGAUCCUCUGGUCCCACGGUUUCAUGCCGACUUCAUUCAUAAGCACGUGAAAGGCUCACGCUGCAUUUGAUGCCAGAAGGCAAACACAACCUGCAUUUGCGUUUUGCAGAU
RNAcentral lists this long non-coding RNA (294 nucleotides) under Homo sapiens (human). Its description in RNAcentral is "HSALNT0100023". The record is from RNAcentral. Lineage: Eukaryota; Metazoa; Chordata; Mammalia; Primates; Hominidae.